RNAcentral lists this ribosomal RNA (551 nucleotides) under uncultured bacterium. Its description in RNAcentral is "partial 16S ribosomal RNA". It matches the Rfam family "Bacterial small subunit ribosomal RNA", at positions 355 to 926 of the family's 1533-position model. The record is from RNAcentral.
UGGGGAAUAUUGGACAAUGGGCGGAAGCCUGAUCCAGCAAUUCCGCGUGGGUGAAGAAGGUCUUCGGAUUGUAAAGCCCUUUCGGCGGGGACAUGAUGACGGUACCCGCAGAAGAAGCCCCGGCUAACUUCGUGCCAGCAGCCGCGGUAAUACGAAGGGGGCUAGCGUUGCUCGGAAUUACUGGGCGUAAAGGGCGCGUAAGCGGCGGUGUUAGUCAGGCGUGAAAUUCCUGGGCUUAACCUGGGGACUGCGCUUGAUACGGCAUUGCUUGAGGGUGGAAGAGGCUCGCGGAAUUCCCAGUGUAGAGGUGAAAUUCGUAGAUAUUGGGAAGAACACCGGUGGCGAAGGCGGCGAGCUGGUCCAUUACUGACGCUGAGGCGCGACAGCGUGGGGAGCAAACAGGAUUAGAUACCCUGGUAGUCCACGCCGUAAACGAUGUGCGCUGGUGUUGGGUGGCCUAGCCACUCAGUGUCGUAGCAACGCGGUAAGCGCACCGCCUGGGGAGUACGGCCGCAAGGUUGAAACUCAAAUGAAUUGACGGGGUCAUAGCU